GUAUAGCUCAGUUGACAGAGCAUGAGACUCUUAAUCUCAACAUGGGGUUUGAGCCCCACGUUGGGCA
Podarcis lilfordi (Lilford's wall lizard) is the source of this 67-nucleotide non-coding RNA. Lineage: Eukaryota; Metazoa; Chordata; Lepidosauria; Squamata; Lacertidae. The record is from the annotation of a GenBank genome assembly.